GCCAGGCACAGUGGCGCAUGGCUAUAGUCCCAACUACUUGGGAGGCUGAGGCUGGGGGAUCGCUUGAGUCCAGGAGUUCUGGGCUGUAGUGCGCUAUGUCAAUCAGUGUCUGUGCUAAGUUCGGCAUCAAUAUGGUGACCUCCUGGGAGCAGGGACCACCAGGUUGCCUAAGAGGGAGUGAACCGACCCAGGUCGGAAAUGGAACAGGUCAAAACUCCUGUGCUGAUCAGUAGUGGGAUCGCAUCUGUGAAUAGCCACUGCACUCCAGCCUGGGCAACAUAGCGAGACUGUGUCACU
This 297-nucleotide signal recognition particle RNA is filed under the name Saimiri boliviensis boliviensis (Bolivian squirrel monkey). RNAcentral describes it as "Metazoan signal recognition particle RNA (ENSSBOG00000002984.1)". It matches the Rfam family "Metazoan signal recognition particle RNA". Rfam says of the family: The signal recognition particle (SRP) is a universally conserved ribonucleoprotein. The record is from RNAcentral. Lineage: Eukaryota; Metazoa; Chordata; Mammalia; Primates; Cebidae.